AAGGUCCUGGGUUCAAUCCCCCGUACAACAAAUUCUCUAUUGAAAAACAGAGAAAUAAGUAAACAAACCUAAUUAACCCCCCCAUUAAAUAAAAGGAAAUGAUUUGUAAAGAGGUAGCAUAGCUUAUUUAUCUUGCUGGAGGUUACUUGUUCUUGGCAGAAGUGAGAAGAAAAGGUGUUUUAAUGGAAUGAGUGAGUUGCUCACCAUAUUUCUAGCAUUCUUUCAGAGCUGGCUUCACAAGCCUCUGAACAGCCAAGGAAUGUCCAACAUCCUGGCCUGGAACAUUUGUCACUUUUAUCUUGGUUUGGUUUCUGAUGACUUUUCAAUUCCCCCCAAUCUCAAACUCAAAAGAAAGUGGAUUGUGGGUGGCAGUGUCAGCCAGAACACCCUCUCUGGAUGGCAGCUCCUCCUCCCAGACUUCAUUCUCCGGGUGUGCACAGGGACAUACAGAUGUCCAAAGGGCGAGCACACAGAUUCAUCCUGGCAUGUUUGUAAUAGCAAGAGCUUGGAAACAUCCUAAAAUGAUAAUAUGAAAUCACUUGGAUGCUGAACUGUAGCUUUGAAAACCAACAACCCACAAUCAGAGUGAAAACCAACAGCCUGGAAGCUACUGGAAAGAGCAGGACAGGGUUGGCGUUCUUUCAAAGCCUCAUUCACAGAGAGCUGUCAUUAUUUGACGUGACUGGUGGUUCCUAGGAAGACUCCACUGCCUGGCUGUCUUUAUUUGUCACGACUAGGAGCACCUCCAGUGCAUUGUAGAGUUUAAAAUACAAUUGAAAUAAAGAGAUAGGAAUUUGUUACCAAAUCCAAGGCUGUGAAGACUUAUCAAUGUUUUCUUCUAAUAGUUUUAUCUCUUGUAUUUAGGUCUUUGAUCCAUUUUGAGUUAAUUUUUAUAUAUGGAGUGAGGAAGAGGUCAAACUUCAUACCUUUGCAUGUGGUUAUCCAGUUGUCCCCGUGCCUUUCGUUGUAGACUAUUCUUUUCUCACUGAAUGGUGUAUUGAAUUGUGCACCCUCCUCAAAGGAUAUGUUGAAAUCCCAACCCCCAGUACCCGAGAAUGUGACCUUAUUUGGAAACAGGGUCAUUGCAGAUGUAACUAGUUAAGAUGAGGUCAUACUGGAGUAGGGUACAUCCUUAAUCCAAAAUUACUGGCGUCCCUAUAGGAAGACACAGAUUCACAGAGGGAUCAUGGCCAUGUGAUGACAGAAGCAGAAAUUGGAGUGAUGCAGCGGGAUUGCUGCGGAUGUCAAGGCCAUACACCAGCAGCUAGGAAAAGGCAAAUUCUCUGCUACAGGUUUCAGAGGGAGCACAGCCCUGUUGAUGCUCUAUUCGUAGCCUCCAGAACUGUGAGACAGUAAAGUUCUGUUGUUUGAAGCCAUCCAAUUUGUGGUACUUUGUUAAGGCAGCCCUAGGAAACUAAUACAAAUGGUAUCGGAACCAAUGUUAGAAAUCAAUUGACCACAGAAGUUUCUGGACUCUCCAUUCUAUUCCAUUGUUCUAAGUGUUUGUAUGUCAGAACCAGUGUUUACUCUAGCUUUGUAUUACGUUUUGAAAUUGGAAGCGUGUGUCCUCCAAGUCUUUUUUUUUUUUUCAAUAUUGUUUUGGUUAUUGAAAGCCACUUAAGUUUCAUAUUAAUUUUAGGAUUAGAUUUUCUAUUUUUACAAAACAGGCCAUUGGAAUUUUGAAUCUGUAGAUUGUUUUGAGAAGUAAUGUCAUCUUAUAAAAUUAAGUUUUCCAAUCUAUGAACAUGGAAUGUCUUUCUAUUUAUUAAGGUUUUCUUUAAUUUCUUUUAAACAAUGUUUUGUAGUUUUUUUUUUCCCCUAGGUUAUAUAAGACUCUCACCUCCUUGGCUAAAUUUAUUCCUAGAUAUUUUAUUCUUUUGGAUGCUAUUGUAAGUGGAAUUGUUUGCUUAAUUUCCUUUACAGAUUGCUUCUUGCUGAUGCAUAGAAAAACAACUGAUUUUUGUGUCGGUUUUGUACUCUGCAACUUUCCUUGAUUCACUUAUUCUAGUAGGGUGUGUGUGUGUGUGUGUGUAUUCUAUGGGAUUUUCUAUGUAGAGAAUCAUGUUAUCUGCAGAUAGUUUCUCUUAUUCCUUUCCAAUUCAGGUGGCUUUUCUUUUUCUUGCCUAAUUGCUCUGGCUAGGACUUCCACUAUCUUGAAUAACAGUGAAAGCAAGAAUCCUUGUCUUGUUUCUCUUCAGAGGAAGCUUUUAUUUUUCACCAAUGAAUAUGUUAGCUGUGAUUUUUUUCAUAAAUGCCCUAUAUGUUUACAAAGUCUUAAAUUUUGUCAAGUGCUUUCCACAGCCAUUGAGAUGAUUCUGUGGUUCUUUUCCACUUUGUUCAGUUAUUGGGGUGUAUUAGAUUAAUCAAUUUUCUUAUGUUGAACCACCCUUGCAUUCCUGGGAUAAAUCCUACUUGGUCAUGAUCUAUGACACUUAUGAGCUGUUAGAUUUUGUUUGUUAAUAUUUUUGUGCCUAUGUUAAUAAGGGAUAUUGGUGUAUAGUUUUCCUUUCUUGUGAUGUCUGGCUAGCUUUGGUAUAAGGGUAAUACUAGCCUCAUAAAAGGUUUAGAAAACCAAGAAAAAAAAAGUGAACUCUAUCAAAACUAAAAACUUAUAUCAAAGGACACCAUCAAGACAAUGAAAUGACAAACCAACAGAAUGAGAGAAAAUACUUGCAAAUCACAUGUCUGAUAAGGGUUACAUAUCCAGGAUAUAUGAAGAACUCAUAAAACUCAACAAAAAGACAAAUAACCCAAUUUAAAAUGGGUAAAGGAUUUGGAUACGAUGAAAAUGAAAAAUUUUAAACUAUUGGAAAAUGAAACAUCUAAAACUCCCUCUGGGGGGUUAGAAAACAAUGAAGUGGGUGCUAUGAAUUGGAGGGCACGAACUAUUUAUUGUUCACAGUAAGCCCUGUAAACUAUUUGGCUCUCUACACCAGUAAUUCUCAAUAUGGUGUGAUUUUUGUCCCUCAUAGGACUUUUAGCAAUGUAAAUGCAUUGACUGUCACAACUGCGGGAUGCUACUGACAUCUAAUGGGUAGAGACCAAGGAUGUUGCUAAACAUCCCACAAUGCACAGGACUGUUCUCCAAACAAAGGGUUAUGUGGCCCAAAAUGUCAACAGUGUUGAGGCUGAGAAAUCCUGUCUAAGCUAUGUGUAAGCUUUGAUU
Non-coding RNA from Vicugna pacos (alpaca), 3166 nucleotides. NCBI's taxonomy places the organism in Eukaryota, Metazoa, Chordata, Mammalia, Artiodactyla, Camelidae. The record is from RefSeq and is a predicted model, not a curated record.